CAAUAGCGUAUAUUAAAGUUGUUGCGGUUAAAAAGCUCGUAGUUGGAUUUCUGUUGAGGUCGGCCGGUCCCUACUUCGUAGGCGUAUCUGGUUCAGCCUUGGCAUCCUCCUAGGGAACGGCACUGCUCUUAACUGAGUGGUCCGGUAUCUAGGACUUUUACUUUGAGGAAAUUAGAGUGUUUACGGCAGGCAAUCGCCUUGAAUAUGUUAGCAUGGAAUAAUAAUAUAGGACCUUGGUUCUAUUUUGUUGGUUUCUAGGACUAAGGUAAUGAUUAAUAGGGAUAUUUGGGGGUAUUCGUAUUAACCGGUCAGAGGUGGAAUUCUUGGAUUCGGUUACGACGAACUACUGCGAAAGCAUUUGCCAAGGAUGUUUUCAUUGA
Molecule: ribosomal RNA, 380 nt
Filed under: uncultured eukaryote
Lineage: Eukaryota
Description: partial 18S ribosomal RNA
Rfam family: Eukaryotic small subunit ribosomal RNA
Source: RNAcentral